RNAcentral lists this ribosomal RNA (253 nucleotides) under uncultured bacterium. RNAcentral describes it as "partial 16S ribosomal RNA". It matches the Rfam family "Bacterial small subunit ribosomal RNA", at positions 524 to 776 of the family's 1533-position model. The record is from RNAcentral.
CACGUAGGGCGCAAGCGUUGUCCGGAAUUAUUGGGCGUAAAGAGCUCGUAGGCGGUCUGUUACGUCCGCUGUGAAAACCCAGGGCUUAACCCUGGGCUUGCAGUGGAUACGGGCAGACUAGAGGCAGGUAGGGGAGAAUGGAAUUCCCGGUGUAGCGGUGAAAUGCGCAGAUAUCGGGAGGAACACCGGUGGCGAAGGCGGUUCUCUGGGCCUGACCUGACGCUGAGGAGCGAAAGCGUGGGGAGCGAACAGG